CGUUACGAACGUGACUCAAUACAUUAAAUAGAUUCCUAUCAGAUAAGUAAACUGUUGACGCUUGCUUAUGGCUUGCUUUCGGGUAGGUCAUUGGGUAAGUGGAAGUUUACCUGAUAGUUUGUCAACUGUCAAAGGUUGGCUUUGAUCUGCUUAAUGAGACAAAUUGUGUUUAGCAAAAUGAGAUUGAGCAAUAACAGGUCCGUGAUGCCCUUAGAUGUCCUGGGUUGCACGCGCGCUACAAUGAGACCAUCAACGUGAUACCUGAUCUGAAAGGAUUGGGAAAUCACUUAAAUGUGCUCUUAGUUGGGAUUGUGGAUUGUAAUUAUUCACAUGAACCUGGAAUUCCCAGUAAAUGCUAGUCAUCAGCUAGCGUUGACUAAGUCCCUGCCCUUUGUACACACCGCCCGUCGCUAUUACCGAUUGGUUAUUUAGUGAGGUCUCCGGAGGUAAUCGCCGAAGAUGCUUAGGUAUCAUUAGGUUGUUUUGCCAAAGUUGACCGAACUUGAUGAUUGAGAGGAAAUAAAAGUCGUAACAAGGUUUCCGUAGGUGAACCUGCGGAAGGAUCAUUA
RNAcentral lists this ribosomal RNA (569 nucleotides) under Simulium siamense. RNAcentral's name for it is "SSU rRNA". It matches the Rfam family "Eukaryotic small subunit ribosomal RNA", at positions 1326 to 1831 of the family's 1831-position model. The record is from RNAcentral. Lineage: Eukaryota; Metazoa; Arthropoda; Insecta; Diptera; Simuliidae.